This 468-nucleotide ribosomal RNA is filed under the name uncultured bacterium. RNAcentral's name for it is "partial 16S ribosomal RNA". It matches the Rfam family "Bacterial small subunit ribosomal RNA", at positions 28 to 507 of the family's 1533-position model. The record is from RNAcentral.
GACGAACGCUGGCGGCGUGCUUAACACAUGCAAGUCGAACGGAAAGGCCCUGCUUUUGUGGGGUGCUCGAGUGGCGAACGGGUGAGUAACACGUGAGUAACCUGCCCUUGACUUUGUGAUAACUUCAGGAAACUGGGGCUAAUACCGGAUAGGAGCUCCUGCUGCAUGGGGGGGGUUGGAAAGUUUCGGCGGUUGGGGAUGGACUCGCGGCUUAUCAGCUUGUUGGUGGGGUAGUGGCUUACCAAGGCUUUGACGGGUAGCCGGCCUGAGAGGGUGACCGGCCACAUUGGGACUGAGAUACGGCCCAGACUCCUACGGGAGGCAGCAGUGGGGAAUAUUGCACAAUGGGCGGAAGCCUGAUGCAGCAACGCCGCGUGCGGGAUGACGGCCUUCGGGUUGUAAACCGCUUUCGCCUGUGACGAAGCGUGAGUGACGGUAAUGGGUAAAGAAGCACCGGCUAACUACGUG